AGCGAACGCUGGCGGCAGGCUUAACACAUGCAAGUCGAGCGGGCGUAGCAAUACGUCAGCGGCAGACGGGUGAGUAACGCGGGGGAACGUACCUUUGGGUUCGGAACAACACAGGGAAACUUGUUCUAAUACCGGAUAAGCCCUUACGGGGAAAGAUUGAUCGCCGAAGGAUCGGCUCGCGUCUGAUUAGCUAGUUGGUGAGGUAACGGCUCACCAAGGCGACGAUCAGUAGCUGGUCUGAGAGGAUGAUCAGCCACAUUGGGACUGAGACACGGCCCAAACUCCUACGGGAGGCAGCAGUGGGGAAUAUUGGACAAUGGGGGCAACCCUGAUCCAGCCAUGCCGCGUGAGUGAUGAAGGCCCUAGGGUUGUAAAGCUCUUUUGUGCGGGAAGAUAAUGACGGUACCGCAAGAAUAAGCCCCGGCUAACUUCGUG
Molecule: ribosomal RNA, 435 nt
Filed under: uncultured bacterium
Lineage: Bacteria
Description: partial 16S ribosomal RNA
Rfam family: Bacterial small subunit ribosomal RNA
Source: RNAcentral